UGCGUUUUUUGUAAGUAAAUUUUGAAGUAACAAGUGUAAUUGUCGUGUGGGGUCAGCAUCUCCUGGUGAGGUGUUAAUUGUUUUGCUUCUAUCUAUUCUUUUCGUCGCUGCAUUUCCUUAUCUUCCCCCCUGUUUUAAUGCAGUAUAGGUAUGUCCGUCAGUAUCUUUCGUGUGUUGUUAUGUUAUAGUUCGUCGUGGUUAUAUGUGUAUUUUUUUUUGGUGUUAUAAAUUUUAUUGAGAUUUUGUUUCUUAUGUUUAAAGUGAUUGUUCGAAUUUUGGAUUAGUUCCUGUUUUUUGCUUCAACGUGUUUCUGUUGAUGUCUGAGGCUGUUUUUAGUGUUUUUUUUUUUUGUGAUUUGAGAAUCUUGGAGGGGGUUAAAAUGUUAUCUUUUCCAGUUUUAUUUAAUUAGUAAUUUGAGAAAUUUGGAGGGGGUUAAAAAUGUUAUCUUUUCCAGUUUUAUUUAAUUAGUAAUUUGAGUUUAAAUUGGAGGUUCCUGCUUACCAAUAUUCUACAAUUUGUGGAGGUUCUUGGCUUUUAAAAUUUUAUUUUGGGUAAGUUUGUUAAUGAAUUGUUUGAUUGUAUGUUGUAUUGUUCAUUUAUGUAUGUUUCAUUGGUUUUAUCUUUUUUAGGUACCCUGUG
Leptopilina heterotoma is the source of this 639-nucleotide long non-coding RNA. RefSeq lists it as uncharacterized. The record is from RefSeq and is a predicted model, not a curated record. Lineage: Eukaryota; Metazoa; Arthropoda; Insecta; Hymenoptera; Figitidae. The transcript is spliced from 5 exons.